RNAcentral lists this long non-coding RNA (364 nucleotides) under Erythranthe guttata (spotted monkey flower). Its description in RNAcentral is "long non-coding RNA (EGUT_LNC002210)". Lineage: Eukaryota; Viridiplantae; Streptophyta; Magnoliopsida; Lamiales; Phrymaceae. The record is from RNAcentral.
ACGACGAGACUGAGGGGCCACGAGAGGUCGAAUGGGGGUGAGAUGAUGAUGAAGUGACUCUAUUUUCAGAUGGAGGUGGAGAAUAGUGGCUAGGUCUUUGUUGGUUCAUUUUUAUGAACUCCAUUAUUAUCUUUUCUUGUUGUUCAACUUUUUGCUUUAAUGCAUACAUUUCAUUCUGUCAUGCGAUGUUAUGAGAAGACCUUCGUCUAGGCAUGUCACCGUAAACAACAUCAGAGGCAGUGACACCGCAACCAUACAUCCUUAUUCUCCCCCGUUUAUCUUGUCCCACAACUUGAGAAAAAAUGUCAUUUGGGCCACUAUCAUUUGCAUUAUCUGGAACACUUAUUAAUUCUUUCAUCUUACG